This 253-nucleotide ribosomal RNA is filed under the name uncultured bacterium. RNAcentral's name for it is "partial 16S ribosomal RNA". It matches the Rfam family "Bacterial small subunit ribosomal RNA", at positions 524 to 776 of the family's 1533-position model. The record is from RNAcentral.
UACGGAGGGUGCAAGCGUUGUCCGGAAUCACUGGGCGUAAAGGGCGCGUAGGCGGCUCAUGAAGGCUGUGGUGAAAGUCCGGGGCUCAACCUCGGAUCGGCCGUGGCGACUCGUGGGCUGGAGCACUGUAGAGGCGGGUGGAAUUCCGGGUGUAGCGGUGGAAUGCGUAGAGAUCCGGAAGAACACCAGUGGCGAAGGCGGCACUCUGGGACGGUACUGACGCUGAGACGCGAAAGCGUGGGGAGCGAACAGG